RNAcentral lists this ribosomal RNA (404 nucleotides) under Fusobacteriota bacterium. Its description in RNAcentral is "Fusobacteria bacterium partial 16S ribosomal RNA". It matches the Rfam family "Bacterial small subunit ribosomal RNA", at positions 355 to 776 of the family's 1533-position model. Lineage: Bacteria; Fusobacteriati; Fusobacteriota. The record is from RNAcentral.
UGGGGAAUAUUGCACAAUGGAGGGAACUCUGAUGCAGCGACGCCGCGUGAGUGAUGAAGGAAUUCGUUUCGUAAAACUCUGUUCUAUGGGAAGAAAAGGACUGUACCAUAGGAGAAAGCUCCGGCUAAAUACGUGCCAGCAGCCGCGGUAAUACGUAUGGAGCGAGCGUUGUCCGGAAUUAUUGGGCGUAAAGGGUGCGCAGGCGGCUUUACAAGUUGGAUGUGAAAUAUUGUGGCUCAACCACAAACGUGCAUCCAAAACUGCAAAGCUUGAGUUAAGGAGAGGUAAGUGGAAUUCCUGGUGUAGCGGUGGAAUGCGUAGAUAUCAGGAGGAAUACCGGUGGCGAAGGCGACUUACUGGACUUAAACUGACGCUCAGGCACGAAAGGGUGGGGAGCAAACAGG